RNAcentral lists this ribosomal RNA (1311 nucleotides) under uncultured organism. Its description in RNAcentral is "bacterial SSU rRNA". It matches the Rfam family "Bacterial small subunit ribosomal RNA", at positions 70 to 1410 of the family's 1533-position model. The record is from RNAcentral.
GAGGCUCCUUCGGGGGUACAUCAGCGGCAGACGGGUGAGUAACACGUAUGUGACCUACCCUCGAGACGGGGAUAACGGCUUGGAAACAGUCGCUAAUACCCGAUAGACUUACCAGGUCAAAGCGGUAAGAAAAGCUACGGUGCUUGAGGAGGGGCCUGCGGCCCAUCAGCUAGUUGGUAGGGUAACGGCCUACCAAGGCGAAGACGGGUAGGGGGUGUGAGAGCACGAGCCCCCACAAUGGGACUGCGACACGGCCCAUACUCCUACGGGAGGCAGCAGCAGGGAAUAUUGCACAAUGGACGGAAGUCUGAUGCAGCGACGCCGCGUGAGUGAAGACGGCCUUCGGGUUGUAAAGCUCUUUUACGGGGGACGAGGAAGGACGGUACCCUGGGAAGAAGUGUCGGCUAACUACGUGCCAGCAGCCGCGGUAAGACGUAGGACACAAGCGUUAUCCGGAGUUACUGGGCGUAAAGCGCCUGCAGGCGGCCUGGUAAGUUGGACGUGAAAGCCCCGUGCUUAACGCGGGGAGGUCGGACAAUACUGCCAAGCUAGAGUGCGUCAGAGGGGAGUGGAAUUUCCGGAGUAGCGGUAAAAUGCGCAGAUAUCGGAAGGAACACCAGUGGCGAAAGCGACUCCCUGGGGCGCGACUGACGCUAAGAGGCGAAAGCUAGGGGAGCGAACAGGAUUAGAGAACCUGGUAGUCCUAGCCCUAAGCGGAUGGAUGCUAGGUGUGGGACGUAAAGUUCCCGUGCCGGAGCCAACGCGAUUAAGCAUCCCGCCUGGGGACUACGGUCGCAAGGCUAAAACUCAAACGAAUUGACGGGGACCCGCACAAGCAGCGGAGCGUGUGGUUCAAUUCGAUGCUACACGAAGAACCUUACCUGGGUUUGACAUGUUACGUGGUAGAGAAGCGAAAGCGGAAUUGACCCUUCGGGGAAGCGUACACAGGUGCUGCAUGGCUGUCGUCAGCUCGUGCCGUGAGUUGUCGGGUUAAGUCCCGUAACGAGCGCAACCCUUAUCCUUAGUUGCACGUUAUCUAGGGAGACUGCCGGCGGGAAAGCCGGAGGAAGGUGGGGAUGACGUCAAGUCAGCAUGGCCNUUAUGUCCAGGGCUACACACACGCUACAAUGGCCGGUACAAAGGGCAGCAAAGUCGCGAGGCGGAGCGAAUCCCAACAAAGCCGGUCGUAGUUCGGAUUGCAGGCUGCAACUCGCCUGCAUGAAGCUUGGAGUUGCUAGUAACCGCGCGUCAGCUAUAGUGCGGUGCAUACGUACCCGGGUCUUGUACACACCGCCCGUCACGUCAUGGAAG